This 429-nucleotide ribosomal RNA is filed under the name Acidobacteriota bacterium. Its description in RNAcentral is "Acidobacteria bacterium partial 16S ribosomal RNA". It matches the Rfam family "Bacterial small subunit ribosomal RNA", at positions 355 to 776 of the family's 1533-position model. The record is from RNAcentral. Lineage: Bacteria; Pseudomonadati; Acidobacteriota.
UGGGGAAUAUUGCACAAUGGGCGCAAGCCUGAUGCAGCCAUGCCGCGUGUAUGAAGAAGGCCUUCGGAUUGUAAAGUACUUUCAGUCGGGAGGAAGGUGGUAAGGUUAAUAACCUUAUCAAUUGACGUUACCGACAGAAGAAGCACCGGCUAACUCCGUGCCAGCAGCCGCGGUAAUACGGAGGGUGCAAGCGUUAAUCGGAAUUACUGGGCGUAAAGCGCACGCAGGCGGUUGAUUGAGUCAGAUGUGAAAUCCCCGGGCUUAACCCGGGAAUUGCAUCUGAUACUGGUCAGCUAGAGUCUUGUAGAGGGGGGUAGAAUUCCAUGUGUAGCGGUGAAAUGCGUAGAGAUGUGGAGGAAUACCGGUGGCGAAGGCGGCCCCCUGGACAAAGACUGACGCUCAGGUGCGAAAGCGUGGGGAGCAAACAGG